UUGCUCAAACAUACAUGCUGUUUAAGAAUGUCCAUCUGAUCUCUGAAGCUAAGCAGGACAGGGCCUGGUUAGUACUUGGAUGCGAGACCGCUGGGAAUACCAGGUGGAACCAC
This 113-nucleotide ribosomal RNA is filed under the name Periophthalmus magnuspinnatus. The record is from RNAcentral. Lineage: Eukaryota; Metazoa; Chordata; Actinopteri; Gobiiformes; Gobiidae.